CUUGCUGGGCUGGAUGAGUGGCGAACGGGUGAGUAACACGUGAGUAACCUGCCCUCUUCUUUGGGAUAACGGUCGGAAACGGCUGCUAAUACCGGGUAUUCACUGUCCUUCGCAUGGGGGGUGGUGGAAAGGUUUUUUCUGGUGGGGGAUGGGCUUGCGGCCUAUCAGCUUGUUGGUGGGGUGAUGGCUUACCAAGGCUUUGACGGGUAACCGGCCUGAGAGGGUGACCGGUCACAUUGGGACUGAGAUACGGCCCAGACUCCUACGGGAGGCAGCAUG
RNAcentral lists this ribosomal RNA (279 nucleotides) under uncultured bacterium. RNAcentral describes it as "partial 16S ribosomal RNA". It matches the Rfam family "Bacterial small subunit ribosomal RNA", at positions 77 to 353 of the family's 1533-position model. The record is from RNAcentral.